This is a long non-coding RNA of Physeter macrocephalus (sperm whale), 3829 nucleotides long. NCBI's taxonomy places the organism in Eukaryota, Metazoa, Chordata, Mammalia, Artiodactyla, Physeteridae. The record is from Ensembl.
GGCGGCUCCCGGGAGGCAGGGCUUCCAGGGUUCAAAACCGGGCAGUCCUGGGCCAGCCAGACGGACCGCGGGCCGGACAGACAGUGCGGCUUUGGGGAAGCAGCACCUAAGACAGGCCGAGAAGGAGGCUCCGGAAUUCCCUCACGGGAGGAUAUUAAGGUGCGCAGGGCCGCGCAUCUGCCGGCAGCAGAGGAAACUGAGGCACCGCGAAGGCCGCGGCGGAGUCUGUCGCCCGACCCUGCCGCUCCUUUGUCCCGGGGUCCUCCCCCGGUUCCGCACCGCCCCUGCCCCGUUCCUCCCCCUCCCCCAGCGGGCGCGGCUGACGCGGCCUGGGAGGAAUGCGCUUCCGGAGGGAGAGGGCGGCGGCUGCGGCCUGAGGAGCGGGAUCGCCGCGCCUGGAAGGCGGUGCCGCGGGGGUCGUUUCCUGCCGGGAGGCGGCCCCACGCCGCUGAGUCUCCUCCUCCCGCCCGAGAGGAGGAGGCGGAGCCGCCGCCGCCGCCGCCGCGCCCGAGCCCGGGAGGCCAAGCCAGCCCUGGGGACAGGCCGAGCGGGAGCCGCGGAGCACAGGCCGAGCUGACCGCGCGGGCCGGACGCCGCGGGAGAAGGGCACAGAGCCUGACAAGAGUUGGCUGAGGAAGAACGUCCAGAAGGUAGGGGAGAAGCCAGUAAAGUUCGCGGGAAUAGAGCAUGCUAAGAAAGAACAGCGAGGUGUAGUCAGUGUUGCUGUGUCAAUUCUUUGGGUGGUAAACUGAUGUAUGCCCCCAGGCACGUAUUGUAGGCAGGCACUAAAGUUUUGAAUGAAUGAAUGAAUGGCUGCAGAGAGUAGGAUAGGCCUGGGAAGUUUUCUUUUUCUAGAGCAGUUUCACAUGCACGGUGGGAAGCGGACACCCAGUUACACAGGUGGAGGAGGGAGACGGAGACCCAGGUAGACAACUAUUUCUAGACCUUUGGUCAUGAAGACAUGAAAGUUAGGAUGAGGACAGGACCUGAAGGCCUCUCUCCCUGGUGGCCUCGCCUCAGGAACUGUUCUGUGUGGGGUGCUCUCGGGGGGAGACUCCGCGGGGCACCUUUCUCAGCCUGAGGGUCGCCUGGGGUAUAGGCCCCGCCUCCCGAGAUAGGGGUUUUCAGGCCUGGGGUGCUGCCUCAGGGCGUCCGGAAGUCUCCGGAGCUCUUGGGGUGCCAUCCUUCCUCCCUGCCCCCUGGCCCCACCGCCUCUUUGCUGCCUGCUCUCCUCAGGGCCUCUCCGCUCUUGUCUCUGCCCGGCCGUCCUCGUGGCUUUCCUUUAUCCCUGCUGGCCGCCGUCUUCCGUCUCCUAGGGCUUCUCUGCUUCCCGGGGAGAAAGCCUGGCCUUUGCAGGCCUGGCCACCGUCCUGGCGGGGCUGCUACUGGCCUUGGGCUGCCCUCCACCCUGCUUCUUUCGGUGGCUCUACAGCCCUUGUGCUGCCUGCUUCCUCAGAAGGCUGGUCUUUGGCGCAUCAAGGUUUAUAGAAGGAAAAGAAAAAUGGCAUUAAAGUAGUAUUUUAAAGCUACGGGACCUAAGAAUGUUAGGAAACUUUUUCUGCUACCAAAUAACUUUAUCUUAGUGGUGCUUCUCUGAGUUGUGUAACAUUUUAAAGGUUUCCCAAGGUAGUCUAGUGGUCCUUAAGGUGACCUGAGUUGUAUCCUGAAGACACACGUAUCAGAGUCCAUAUAUGGAACAAAUAUUUGUUCUGUUCUCUUUGUGUAGAAACUGCCCAGAUGCUCCAUUCAUCACAGUCAUGCAUUUCUUCGGGCGUCUUACUGUUCCAGGUCCUUUUAAUCAUAGCUUUGGAAUUGAUAACAUUAUUUGAAUUGUUUAGAAUUAUAGUCUGCCUGGAUUUUUUACACAUUGAACCUUUUAGUCAGGCCUUAAAAGGUAAACUGUCAGGCAUUUCACACUUCAGUGACCCGCAGCUUUUGUUGGCCUUUUGGAUGCAGUCACAAGUAAUAACGUAAGCAAAACUGUGGCAUAACAGAACUGGCUGCUCUGAGCACUGUUGCAAAGUGGAUGACUGUGCAAGUUAUUCAUGCUGCUUUUCUUUGGGAAACCAGAAAAUGUGAGCAGCAUUUGACAGGAAACCCAGUAUCCCAGGGGUGCUCAGAGCAUAACUUUAAAGCAUUUUCUUGGAGCUGUGGGAUUGUAUCCUGGAACAUAAGCCCUUGAAAAUGAGAGGUUUUGAAAGAAAUUUUUUUUUCUUAUUAAAGGAAAUUCACCAAGAAAGAAAAAAAUUCCACACAGUACCCUGCCGUAAUUGUUUUUACUAAGAAAGUGAAAAGAAGAAAACACUAGAACAAUUUAAAAACAAAUGAACCCAUUGUCUUUAUAUUAUGCUUAUAACUCUGUCAUCUCCAGGAUUCUUUGGUUACUUUAUACGUUUAUAUACUGUUAUUUUUACAUACCUGUCAUCUUAAUGUGCUCUUUGCAUCCAGAAGUUAUUCUAUAAACCUUUUGAUGUUACUACAUUUUUUUCUUUUGACUCUAGUAGUCCAUCAAGUUGAUACAGUUAGCCCUUUCCCCAUCAUUCUAGAGGACGUUGGCACUUUUGUCUGUUAUAAACAUGCUAGAGUCUGUACUGAAAGUGUAUGUGCAUGUGUAUCACUUUUUAUAUUUUAAAUUAUUAGGAUGAAUUCCUAGUAGCUCGUUUACUGAGUCAGAGGGUAGAAACAGUUUUAAUGCUUUUUGAUAUAGAUUGUUAAAUUAUUUUCCCCCAAGUUAUACCAGUUUACAGCCAUCUCUGGUCUCUCUUAGCCAUCUGCAGUAAGUCUUUGUUCUGUUGUUUUGUUGGGUUAAAAAACGUUGUUUUUUUUUUUUUUUCCUGCUUGCUGGUUUACCUUACAUUGCUUUAAUUUAUAUCUCUUUGCUAAGUAGUAAAGCCAAACUUCGUUUGGUGGGGGGGUGUUAUAUUUGCUUUUGGUUUUUUUGCAUUCUGUGGAAGGGGCAGGUGUUCAUGCAUAAUUAUUAGACUGGCUGCUAGUCCAAGAGCAGUAAAGGAGUUAAGGGAUAGGGUCAGUGACCUGUGGCUAUAGCCGUCUUUGACCAACUCUGAUAAGGUAUAGAUUAAUGUUGUGAAAACUUUGAUUCACAGAAAACAGUUACAUACCUAAUGGUUGGAGUUUGAGGUAUUCUGCUUAAUAUACAGACUCUUACUUAAUUUUUCUUUAGAGAUUCUAAAAGACACUUAAACCUCUUUCAGGUCUUCUUAUGUCCCUCUCCCCCCACUUUUGUGUAGUUUGUAGAUCUAGAAAUUGUAGGAAAUUGAACUGGAUAUUUUACUAAUACCAUGCACAGAAGUUGAUUUUCUUAAGAAAUAGUUACAGGACAUCAAACUCAAAAAUUGAGUUGGGGCCUUGUGCAGGAUGUUGGUCUUAGCCUUAGAAAAAAUAAAAACUAUUGAAAAGUUGUAAGCAAGGGGAUGACAUGAUCAGGAUUUUGACAGGUUCACUCAAACUAACAUUCAGUGUUGAGGUAACUGAGGCAUAUGGAUAUGCCUGUUUGGCCCCCUAGGAGUCACAGCAGGUAAUAGAGAUUCCAUGGGACAAAGACUUAAUAUUAAUAGCUUUUAGGUGUAGGAAUACUUGACACUUUUUGUUUUGAGCACUGUUAAUUAAAUAUUAAUGUAUAAUUGAUUUGGAGAAAAGUAAGAUUGGAUUCUGGGAAUCUGGAGUGGAAGGUGAGGUAACUGGGGGGAGAGGUGGAUGUUGAGCAUGGAGGAGGGCUGGGGAGGAAGAUGCAUUUACACUUAUAAAUUAGCGGACGAUCAGGUGAGUGGCAAUGAUUAGGCUUUAUAUGUUUUUUUUCCUUAAUAUAACA